This 433-nucleotide ribosomal RNA is filed under the name uncultured bacterium. RNAcentral's name for it is "partial 16S ribosomal RNA". It matches the Rfam family "Bacterial small subunit ribosomal RNA", at positions 29 to 507 of the family's 1533-position model. The record is from RNAcentral.
AACGAACGCUGGCGGCAUGCCUAACACAUGCAAGUCGAACGAGACCUUCGGGUCUAGUGGCGCCCGGGUGCGUAACGCGUGGGAACCUGCCCUUAGGUUCGGAAUAACUCCCCGAAAGGGGUGCUAAUACCGGAUAAUGUCUUCGUCCCAAAGAUUUAUCGCCUUUGGAUGGGCCCGCGUUGGAUUAGCUAGUUGGUAGGGUAAAAGCCUACCAAGGCGACGAUCCAUAGCUGGUCUGAGAGGAUGAUCAGCCACACUGGGACUGAGACACGGCCCAGACUCCUACGGGAGGCAGCAGUGGGGAAUAGUGGACAAGGGGCGAAAGACUGAUCCAGCAAUGCCGCGUGAGUGAUGAAGGCCUUAGGGUUGUAAAGCUCUUUUACCCGGGAUGAUAAUGACAGUACCGGGAGAAUAAGCUCCGGCUAACUCCGUG